Molecule: ribosomal RNA, 91 nt
Filed under: Prolemur simus (greater bamboo lemur)
Lineage: Eukaryota; Metazoa; Chordata; Mammalia; Primates; Lemuridae
Source: RNAcentral
GUCUAUGGCCAUACCACCCUGAAUGCACCAGAUCUUUCCUGAUCUCAGAAGCUAAAUGGGUUCAGGCCUGGUUAGUGUAAGGUCAUCAACC